Molecule: ribosomal RNA, 211 nt
Filed under: uncultured Pelotomaculum sp.
Lineage: Bacteria; Bacillati; Bacillota; Clostridia; Eubacteriales; Desulfotomaculaceae
Description: partial 16S ribosomal RNA
Rfam family: Bacterial small subunit ribosomal RNA
Source: RNAcentral
GGUGGGGAUGACGUCAAAUCAUCAUGCCCCUUAUGUUCUGGGCUACACACGUGCUACAAUGGCCGGUACAGACGGAGGCGAAGCCGCGAGGCGGAGCAAAUCCGAAAAAGCCGGUCUCAGUUCGGAUUGCAGGCUGCAAUUCGCCUGCAUGAAGUCGGAAUCGCUAGUAAUCGCAGGUCAGCAUACUGCGGUGAAUACGUUCCCGGGCCUU